This is a non-coding RNA of Camellia sinensis, 438 nucleotides long. NCBI's taxonomy places the organism in Eukaryota, Viridiplantae, Streptophyta, Magnoliopsida, Ericales, Theaceae. The record is from RefSeq and is a predicted model, not a curated record.
CUGUGAUGUGGGUUCGGAAAAUUAUUUUCAAUUAUCUUUGUGAUCUCAGGGCAUAUGAUCGAGCUGCAAUUAAGUUCCGUGGAACUGAUGCAGAUAUCAAUUUUAAUAUCAGUGAUUAUAAUGAAGAUCUUCAACAGAUGAAGAAUUUGACGAAGGAAGAAUUCGUGCAUGUACUUCGUCGCCAGAGUGCCGGAUUCUCUAGGGGUACUUCAAAAUACAGGGGUGUUACACUGCACAAAUGCGGACGAUGGGAAGCUUGAAUGGGGCAGUUCCUUGGCAAGAAGUAUAUCUAUCUUGGGUUGUUCGACAGUGAGGUGGAAGCUGCAAGGGCUUAUGACAAGGCUGCAAUAAAAUGCAAUGGAAGGGAAGCGGUGACCAACUUUGAGGCAAGCACAUAUGAAGAGGAGUUAAGCUCUGAGAUUGAGAAUGGAGGUAUCA